AGCGAACGCUGGCGGCAGGCCUAACACAUGCAAGUCGAACGAAACUUUCGGGGUUAGUGGCGGACGGGUGUGUAACACGUGGGAACGUGCCUUUAGGUACGGAAUAACUCAGGGAAACUUGUGCUAAUAACGAAUGUGCCCUUCGGGGGAAAGAUUAAUCGCCUUUAGAGCGGCCCGCGUCUGUUUUGCUAGUUGGUUGAGGUAAUUGCUUACCCAGGCGGGGAUCAGUAGCUGGACUGAGAGGAUGAUCAGCCAGAUUCGGACUGAGACACGGCCCCAUCACGGACGCGAGAGAGCAGUGCAGGAUGUAGCGGACAGGCCGUAGGCGCGACGCGGCCAUGCCGGGGAGAAGAUGCAUCGCUUAGGAUUGCGCAAUUCUUUCGCCGGAGACGGUAAUGACGGUAACCGGUAAAGAAGCCCCGGCUAACUCCGUG
Molecule: ribosomal RNA, 434 nt
Filed under: uncultured bacterium
Lineage: Bacteria
Description: partial 16S ribosomal RNA
Rfam family: Bacterial small subunit ribosomal RNA
Source: RNAcentral